RNAcentral lists this long non-coding RNA (2676 nucleotides) under Homo sapiens (human). Its description in RNAcentral is "PREDICTED lncRNA (TCONS_00022536)". The record is from RNAcentral. Lineage: Eukaryota; Metazoa; Chordata; Mammalia; Primates; Hominidae.
CUCCCUUCUGGCUUCACCAUCUGCUGAGAGCUACUUCCACUCAAUAAAACCUUGCACUCAUUCUCCAAGCCCACAUGUGAACUGAUUUUUCCAGUACACCAACGCAAGAAACCUCAGGAUACAGAAAGCCCUCUGUCCUUCCAAUAAGGCAGGGGGUUCUAAUUGAGCUAACACAAGGCACCUACGGAUGCCUAAAUUAAAGAGCAAACUUGUAACACACGCCCACUAGAGCUUCAGCUGCAAACCGCUAGACACUGCCGUGGGGUCAGAGCCCCACAGCCUGCCGGUCUGUAUGCUCCCCUAGAGGUUUGAGCAGCUGGGCAAUGAAGAGGUGAGCUACAACUCCCAGUGCACACCCUGCGAGGGGGACAAGGGAACUUUUCCUGUUUUAGAAAUACCAAAGCACAAUCAACCCAUCAAACGAAAAAAACAACAACAGCCUAAAAGACAAGGUUGAUGUGGAGGAGAAAAAAAAGACAGGUCUCGCUCUGCCACCCAGGCUAGGAGUGCAGUAGAGUGACUACAGUUCACAGCAGACUCAACCUUCCAGGCUCAAGCAAUCCUCUCACCUCGGCCUCCCAAGUACCUGGGACUACAGGCACACUCCACCAUUCCCAGCUAAUUUUUGUAUUUUUUGUAGAGACAUGGUUUUGACAUAUUGUCCAGGCUGGUCUUUUACUGUCAAAUUGCUAUAUUUUAUUGCUUUUGUUUUUGAAUAUUUUUGAUCCAUGAUUGAGUCCAUGAACAUGGAACCUGUGGACAUGGAGGCCCAACAAUAGUACUUAAUGUCUUUCUAACACAGCUACCUUAUGAACUCUGGAAAAAAUUGUAUGCCAGCCAAAGCAGUGGAACAACCAUAUUCUACUCACUGGAUUGUCCUCAACUGUUCAACAAUACCUCCCAAACUUGUUCCUGACUUCCGCCCAACAUGCAAUGACUCCAUUCUCAUUGUGCUCUUACCUGUUUCACUUAGUUGGAUUAUUUCUGUUCAAAAAUAUGUUUGAUUUUUAAAACUCAGGCUUUCACAGCUUUUAAAAGUUGUAUAAACCACUGUAUUUGUUUGAUAGAUGUGGGUGAAUUUGGCUUCCUACAAAGCAAUAACAAAUCAUCCACAUAGGAAAGUUACCAUUUCUGCAGAUGGAAAAAUGUGUACCUUGCUUCUCAUAUCAUUGUUUUCAUUUUGCAAGAUAUGAAUUUCUUGAAUAGUGGUAUCACCUACAAUUACUUAAAAAAUUAAAAUAAUUUAGGGCACCUUAGCUUGAUAGCUUUCUAAAGAUAUAAACAAGUUAUUUGGUUUAAUGAGGGGAAAAAAAUUGGUCUAAAGGAAAAUGGACUGACAGCUUUGUUACAUACUAAAAAUCAACCAAUAACUGUCUUUUAAUGUUGUUGGUGAUAGUUGUUUUGUUUUUUAAGCAGGAAACACACAGAUGUACUCUAAAAAUCAUUCUUAGUAGAAGUCUUUAAUAUCAUUUUACUUAUAGAUACUAAGUAUAAAUCUUCCACUUAAUCUGUGUUAAAAUAUGAUAUUCUUUUAUUUGUCAGUUAAUAGUUUGUAAGGACCAGAAAGUAACCAUUUCUAUAAAGCAGUUCUCUAGACAAGGUAAAAUGGUAAACCACCAUUAGAUGCUUUUUCUCCUUCUUCUCUGUCACGUGAUAUUAAAAAAGACUGGCCUGGGCAUGGUGACUCAUGCCUGUAAUCCCAGUAAUUUGGGAGUCCAAGGCUUUCAGAUCACCUGAGGUCAGGAGUUCGAGACCAGUCUGACCAACACGGAGAAACCCCAUCUCUACUAAAAAUACACAAUUAGCCGAGUGUGAUGGCGCAUGCCUGUAAUCCCAGCUACUCAGGAGGCUAUGGCAGGAGAAUCACUUGAACCCGGGAGGUGGAGGUUGCAGUGAACCGAGAUCAUGCCAUUGUACUCCAGCCUGGGCAACAAGAGCGAAACUCCAUCACCAAAAAAUAAAAUAAAAUAAAAAAUAUCCCAAUAACAGGGUUUUCUUGGGGCAUGUACCAUUGUGCUAAAUCUUCCAUUGAUGAACAUAUUGCAAUCUUUCCAUUGUUGCUUCACUUCUCAGCUUUUUAUGCAGAUAUAUUUUUAAAAUUAUCAGCAGACAAAACAUGUCUCAUCCUUUUCCUCUUUAUUCAUAUUCUUUUCAUUUGCCAUUUUUCAGUAUUUAGAGUAUGCUGCCCACGAGUCCCACGUUAUAGACUGGCUCACUGAAAGACUCAAACACUUCCUUCAGUCAAAUAUUCCCAACUGUUAUUUCUAACAAUUCCUUGUUCCUUGGUAGCUUUAUUAUGUUGGGCUUUUGUUUUCAAAUUCUGCAUAUUGAUUUAUAACUAGCUGUUAUUUCUAGCUGUGUGAUCUUAAACCAGUCACAUGAAUUCCCUGGGUUCUAAUUCUCUUAUCUGUAAAAUGAGCAAACUAUGAGAAUUCAUCUGUGUUGUUAUGAAAAUAAAAUAAGCUAUUGCUAACAAAACUCUUAAAAUAGUGCCUGGCCACGGUGGCUCGUGUCUGUAAUCCCAGCACUUUAGGAGGCCAAGGUGGGGGGAUCACGAGGUCAAGACAUCGAGACCAUCCUGGCCAACAUGGUGAAACGCCGUCUCUACUAAAAAUACAAAAAUUAGCUGGGUGUGGAGGUGGGCACCUGUAGUCCCAUCUACUUGGCAGGCUGAGG